AGGGGGGCCCUAACACAUGCAAGUCGAGCGGAUGAAGGAGCUUGCUCCUGGAUUCAGCGGCGGACGGGUGAGUAAUGCCUAGGAAUCUGCCUGGUAGUGGGGGACAACGUUUCGAAAGGAACGCUAAUACCGCAUACGUCCUACGGGAGAAAGCAGGGGACCUUCGGGCCUUGCGCUAUCAGAUGAGCCUAGGUCGGAUUAGCUAGUUGGUGAGGUAAUGGCUCACCAAGGCGACGAUCCGGGGCUGGUCUGAGAGGAUGAUCAGUCACACUGGAACUGAGACACGGUCCAGACUCCUACGGGAGGCAGCAGUGGGGAAUAUUGGACAAUGGGCGAAAGCCUGAUCCAGCCAUGCCGCGUGUGUGAAGAAGGUCUUCGGAUUGUAAAGCACUUUAAGUUGGGAGGAAGGGCAGUAAAUUAAUACUUUGCUGUUUUGACGUUACCGACAGAAUAAGCACCGGCUAACUCUGUGCCAGCAGCCGCGGUAAUACAGAGGGUGCAAGCGUUAAUCGGAAUUACUGGGCGUAAAGCGCGCGUAGGUGGUUUGUUAAGUUGGAUGUGAAAUCCCCGGGCUCAACCUGGGAAGUGCAUCCCAAAACUGGCAAGCUAGAGUAUGGUAGAGGGUGGUGGAAUUUCCUGUGUAGCGGUGAAAUGCGUAGAUAUAGGAGAACACCAGUGGCGAAGCGACCACCUGGACUGAUACUGACACUGAGUGCGAAGCGUGGGAGCAAACAGGAAUUAGAUACCUUGUAGUCCACGCCGUAACGAUGUCACUAGCCGUUGUAGCUGAGCUCUUAGUGGGCGCAGCCUACGCAUUAG
RNAcentral lists this ribosomal RNA (819 nucleotides) under Pseudomonas sp. RNAcentral describes it as "bacterial SSU rRNA". It matches the Rfam family "Bacterial small subunit ribosomal RNA", at positions 40 to 863 of the family's 1533-position model. Lineage: Bacteria; Pseudomonadati; Pseudomonadota; Gammaproteobacteria; Pseudomonadales; Pseudomonadaceae. The record is from RNAcentral.